CGCGUGAAGUCACCCUCCGCUCACUUUACGCUCUCGACGCUCCGUUCGCGUCGCGCGCUCGAAGCUCUCGCGCUUCCGGCCCCCGCACGAUCUCACGCGUUUUUCUGCUUUACGCGUUAAAGCGCCGAAAGAAAUGACGUCCGCGGCUCCCGCUCUCGCGCCGCACCUCGCGAUGGAAGCGGCUCGACGACCGCACGCCGCGCGUCGUCUCGGUAUGAACGUCCCUCAGCCCGCGGUUCAGCGCUUCGACGUCCCGAGAGGUGCGCUUUCACGACCCUAUCUCGCCAGAUCGCGCCAGAUCCCCCCGAGCUGACGCGGCAGAUUCGCCGCCUUCGACGCGUUUUUUCCCCCCCCGGAACCGCGCGCGCGCGUCGCGCUCGAGCGUGAAUUCACCCUCCGUUCCCCC
RNAcentral lists this long non-coding RNA (406 nucleotides) under Micromonas pusilla. RNAcentral describes it as "long non-coding RNA (MPUS_LNC000077)". The record is from RNAcentral. Lineage: Eukaryota; Viridiplantae; Chlorophyta; Mamiellophyceae; Mamiellales; Mamiellaceae.